This 251-nucleotide ribosomal RNA is filed under the name uncultured prokaryote. RNAcentral describes it as "partial 16S rRNA". It matches the Rfam family "Bacterial small subunit ribosomal RNA", at positions 525 to 775 of the family's 1533-position model. The record is from RNAcentral.
ACGAGGGGUGCAAGCGUUGUUCGGAAUCAUUGGGCGUACAGGGCGUGUAGGUGGUAUGUUAAGUCUGUUGUUAAAGACUCUGGCCUAACUGGGGAAGGGCAUUGGAAACUGGUGUACUAGAGUACGGAAGAGAGAAGUGGAAUUCUCGGUGUAGCGGUGAAAUGCGUAGAUAUCGGGAGGAACACCGAUGGCGAAGGCAGCUUCGUAGUCCGUUCCUGACGCUGAGGCGCGAAAGCGUGGGGAGCAAACAG